AGAGUUUGAUCAUGGCUCAGGAUGAACGCUGGCGGCGUGCCUAACACAUGCAAGUCGAGCGAUUUACUUCGGUAAAGAGCGGCGGACGGGUGAGUAACGCGUGGGUAACCUGCCCUAUACACACGGAUAACAUACCGAAAGGUAUGCUAAUACGAGAUAAUAUAAGAGAUUCACAUGGAUUUCUUAUCAAAGCUGAGGCGGUAUAGGAUGGACCCGCGUCUGAUUAGCUGGUUGGUAAGGUAACGGCUUACCAAGGCGACGAUCAGUAGCCGACCUGAGAGGGUGAUCGGCCACAUUGGAACUGAGACACGGUCCAAACUCCUACGGGAGGCAGCAGUGGGGAAUAUUGCACAAUGGGCGAAAGCCUGAUGCAGCAACGCCGCGUGAGUGAUGAAGGCCUUCGGGUCGUAAAACUCUGUUCUCAAGGAAGAUAAUGACGGUACUUGAGGAGGAAGCCCCGGCUAACUACGUGCCAGCAGCCGCGGUAAUACGUAGGGGGCUAGCGUUAUCCGGAUUUACUGGGCGUAAAGGGUGCGUAGGUGGUCUCUUAAGUCAGGAGUGAAAGGCUACGGCUUAACCGUAGUAAGCUCUUGAAACUGGGAGACUUGAGUGCAGGAGAGGAAAGUGGAAUUCCUAGUGUAGCGGCGAAAUGCGUAGAUAUUAGGAGGAACACCAGUAGCGAAGGCGGCUUUCUGGACUGUAACUGACACUGAGGCACGAAAGCGUGGGGAGCAAACAGGAUUAGAUACCCUGGUAGUCCACGCCGUAAACGGUGAGUACUAGGUGUCGGGGGUUACCCCCCUCGGUGCCGCAGCUAACGCAUUAAGUACUCCGCCUGGGGAGUACGCUCGCAAGAGUGAAACUCAAAGGAAUUGACGG
This 879-nucleotide ribosomal RNA is filed under the name uncultured bacterium. RNAcentral describes it as "bacterial SSU rRNA". It matches the Rfam family "Bacterial small subunit ribosomal RNA", at positions 8 to 916 of the family's 1533-position model. The record is from RNAcentral.